RNAcentral lists this ribosomal RNA (498 nucleotides) under uncultured bacterium. Its description in RNAcentral is "partial 16S ribosomal RNA". It matches the Rfam family "Bacterial small subunit ribosomal RNA", at positions 28 to 507 of the family's 1533-position model. The record is from RNAcentral.
GACGAACGCUGGCGGCGUGCCUAAUACAUGCAAGUCGAGCGGACGAAUCGAAAGCUUGCUUUUGAUUCGUUAGCGGCGGACGGGUGAGUAACACGUGGGCAACCUGCCCUGUAGACGGGGAUAACACCGAGAAAUCGGUGCUAAUACCGGAUAACACGAAAUGUCGCAUGACGUUUCGUUGAAAGACGGCGCACGCUGUCGCUACAGGAUGGGCCCGCGGCGCAUUAGCUAGUUGGUGAGGUAACGGCUCACCAAGGCGACGAUGCGUAGCCGACCUGAGAGGGUGAUCGGCCACACUGGGACUGAGACACGGCCCAGACUCCUACGGGAGGCAGCAGUAGGGAAUCUUCCGCAAUGGACGAAAGUCUGACGGAGCAACGCCGCGUGAGCGAAGAAGGCCUUCGGGUCGUAAAGCUCUGUUGUUAGGGAAGAACAAGUAACGCAGUAACUGGCGUUACCGUGACGGUACCUAACGAGAAAGCCACGGCUAACUACGUG